Molecule: long non-coding RNA, 592 nt
Filed under: Dasypus novemcinctus (nine-banded armadillo)
Lineage: Eukaryota; Metazoa; Chordata; Mammalia; Cingulata; Dasypodidae
Description: lncRNA (ENSDNOG00000049986.1)
Source: RNAcentral
AGUUAAAGACUCACCCGCCCCACGCCUCUCUUAAGGCCAAUAACACUGCUCAGAGGGAAGGUUCAAAAGCUAGGCAGAGAGAAACCGUAACGUUUAUGACGGCGGGAUAAAGACCCUUUCCCACAGAAUGCCAUGUCUUUGUGAAAUGAUUAUAAGGAAUCGUCCCUUGAAUAUAGACUGCUGUGAGUGUUGGCGUGCGCUUCCCCUGCCGAAAGUGAGAGGAGAGCAGAAAGUGCAAGAAAGUCAAUGUGGCUACCCCGAGGCUUGUAGCACCACGCUCUACAGGACCUGGAAGUAAGAGGAGGACUCCCACCCCAUAAAAUGACAGACAGUAAGGCAAAGAAACUGCAGCUCAGAGAAGAUAGGGGCCUGCCUGGGACUCAGCUAUGCUUUCUGCCUCUUGAGUCAACUUCUAUUUAUCUCAUGAAACCCAUUUGGCUUCCAAAACAUAAAUUAAACAUCACAUUUUAUUUUAAGGUUGAGCCACUUGCCUAAUCUACCCUCCCAUAUUUGCCCAUCAGCAUAUUUUGUAAUUGGAUAUGGAAUCUAGUUUCUCCAACUUAAAAUUAUUAAGCUCUAAAUCACACUGGUC